GCCAGACUCCUACGGGAGGCAGCAGUGGGGAAUAUUGCACAAUGGGGGAAACCCUGAUGCAGCAACGCCGCGUGAAGGAAGACGGUUUUCGGAUUGUAAACUUCUGUUCUUAGUGAAGAAGAAUGACGGUAGCUAAGGAGCAAGCCACGGCUAACUACGUGCCAGCAGCCGCGGUAAUACGUAGGGGGCAAGCGUUAUCCGGAUUUACUGGGUGUAAAGGGAGCGUAGACGGCGAUACAAGUCUGAAGUGAAAGCCCGGGGCUCAACCCCGGGACUGCUUUGGAAACUGUGUUGCUGGAGUGCUGGAGAGGCAAGCGGAAUUCCUAGUGUAGCGGUGAAAUGCGUAGAUAUUAGGAAGAACACCAGUGGCGAAGGCGGCUUGCUGGACAGUAACUGACGUUGAGGCUCGAAAGCGUGGGGAGCAAACAGGAUUAGAUACCCCAGUAC
RNAcentral lists this ribosomal RNA (447 nucleotides) under uncultured bacterium. RNAcentral's name for it is "bacterial SSU rRNA". It matches the Rfam family "Bacterial small subunit ribosomal RNA", at positions 330 to 793 of the family's 1533-position model. The record is from RNAcentral.